RNAcentral lists this ribosomal RNA (855 nucleotides) under uncultured bacterium. Its description in RNAcentral is "bacterial SSU rRNA". It matches the Rfam family "Bacterial small subunit ribosomal RNA", at positions 66 to 951 of the family's 1533-position model. The record is from RNAcentral.
ACGAUGAAUCUUCUAGCUUGCUAGAAGUGGAUUAGUGGCGCACGGGUGAGUAAUGCAUAGGUUAUGUGCCCUUUAGUCUGGGAUAGCCACUGGAAACGGUGAUUAAUACUGGAUACUCCCUACGGGGGAAAGUUUUUCGCUAAAGGAUCAGCCUAUGUCCUAUCAGCUUGUUGGUGAGGUAAUGGCUCACCAAGGCUAUGACGGGUAUCCGGCCUGAGAGGGUGAUCGGACACACUGGAACUGAGACACGGUCCAGACUCCUACGGGAGGCAGCAGUAGGGAAUAUUGCUCAAUGGGGGAAACCCUGAAGCAGCAACGCCGCGUGGAGGAUGAAGGUUUUAGGAUUGUAAACUCCUUUUGUUAGAGAAGAUUAUGACGGUAUCUAACGAAUAAGCACCGGCUAACUCCGUGCCAGCAGCCGCGGUAAUACGGAGGGUGCAAGCGUUACUCGGAAUCACUGGGCGUAAAGAGUGCGUAGGCGGGGUAAUAAGUCAGAUGUGAAAUCCUGUAGCUUAACUACAGAACUGCAUUUGAAACUGUUACUCUGGAGUGUGGGAGAGGUAGGUGGAAUUCUUGGUGUAGGGGUAAAAUCCGUAGAGAUCAAGAGGAAUACUCAUUGCGAAGGCGACCUGCUGGAACAUUACUGACGCUGAUGCACGAAAGCGUGGGGAGCAAACAGGAUUAGAUACCCUGGUAGUCCACGCCCUAAACGAUGGAUGCUAGUUGUUGCCUUGCUUGUCAGGGCAGUAAUGCAGCUGACGCAUUAAGCAUCCCGCCUGGGGAGUACGGUCGCAAGAUUAAAACUCAAAGGAAUAGACGGGGACCCGCACAAGCGGUGGAGCAUGUGGUUUAAUU